UACAGAGGGUGCAAGCGUUAAUCGGAAUUAUUGGGCGUAAAGCGCACGUAGGUGGGCUAAUAAGUUGAAUGUGAAAGCCCUGGGCUUAACCUGGGAAUGGCAUUCAAGACUGUUAGUCUAGAGUAUGGGAGAGGGAAGUGGAAUUUCUGGUGUAGCGGUGAAAUGCGUAGAUAUCAGAAGGAACAUCAGUGGCGAAGGCGACUUCCUGGCCUAAUACUGACACUAAGGUGCGAAAGCGUGGGGAGCAAACAGGAUUAGAUACCCUGGUAGUCCACGCCGUAAACGAUGAGAACUAGACGUUGGGCAGCAUAGACUGCUUAGUGUCGAAGCUAACGCGAUAAGUUCUCCGCCUGGGGAGUACGGCCGCAAGGCUA
This 374-nucleotide ribosomal RNA is filed under the name uncultured prokaryote. RNAcentral describes it as "bacterial SSU rRNA". It matches the Rfam family "Bacterial small subunit ribosomal RNA", at positions 524 to 896 of the family's 1533-position model. The record is from RNAcentral.